RNAcentral lists this ribosomal RNA (271 nucleotides) under uncultured prokaryote. RNAcentral's name for it is "partial 16S ribosomal RNA". It matches the Rfam family "Bacterial small subunit ribosomal RNA", at positions 524 to 794 of the family's 1533-position model. The record is from RNAcentral.
UACGUAGGUGGCAAGCGUUGUCCGGAUUUACUGGGCGUAAAGGGAGCGUAGGCGGAUUUUUAAGUGAGAUGUGAAAUACCCGGGCUCAACUUGGGUGCUGCAUUUCAAACUGGAAGUCUAGAGUGCAGGAGAGGAGAAUGGAAUUCCUAGUGUAGCGGUGAAAUGCGUAGAGAUUAGGAAGAACACCAGUGGCGAAGGCGAUUCUCUGGACUGUAACUGACGCUGAGGCUCGAAAGCGUGGGGAGCAAACAGGAUUAGAUACCCGGGUAGU